RNAcentral lists this ribosomal RNA (583 nucleotides) under uncultured bacterium. RNAcentral's name for it is "bacterial SSU rRNA". It matches the Rfam family "Bacterial small subunit ribosomal RNA", at positions 30 to 606 of the family's 1533-position model. The record is from RNAcentral.
AGAACGCGGGGCAUGCUUACACAUGCAAGUCGAGCGGCAGCGCGGGGGCAACCCUGGCGGCGAGCGGCGAACGGGUGAGUAAUGCAUCGGAACGUGUCCUCUUGUGGGGGAUAACCAGUCGAAAGACUGGCUAAUACCGCAUGAGCUCGAGAGAGGAAAGCAGGGGAUCCGCAAGGACCUUGCGCGAGAGGAGCGGCGAUGCCCGAUUAGCUAGUUGGUGGGGUAAAAGCCUACCAAGGCGACGAUCGGUAGCUGGUCUGAGAGGACGACCAGCCACACUGGGACUGAGACACGGCCAGACUCCUACGGGAGGCAGCAGUGGGGAAUUUUGGACAAUGGGGGCAACCCUGAUCCAGCCAUGCCGCGUGUGUGAAGAAGGCCUUCGGGUUGUAAAGCACUUUCGGACGGAACGAAAUCGCGCGGGUGAAUAUCCCGGUGGAUGACGGUACCGUAAGAGGAAGCACCGGUAACUACGUGCCAGCAGCCGGGUAAAUACGUAGGGUGCGAGCGUUAAUCGGGAAUUACUUGGGCGUUAAAGUGUGGCGCAGGCGGGCGUUGGCAAGUCGCAGUGUGGAAAUCCCCG